Molecule: long non-coding RNA, 710 nt
Filed under: Homo sapiens (human)
Lineage: Eukaryota; Metazoa; Chordata; Mammalia; Primates; Hominidae
Description: HSALNT0005849
Source: RNAcentral
AAGAGAUGCUCAACAUCCCUAACCACUAGGCUCAUCAGUGGAAGGGAUUUACCUUGUCUCAGAUGAGACUUUGGACUGUGGACUUUUGAGUUAAUGCUGAAAUGAGUUAAAAUGUGGGGGACUGUUGAGAAGGGAUGAUUGGAUUCUGCGGUGUGAGAAGGACAUGUGAUUUAGUAGAGGCCGCAGGCAGAAUGAUAUGCUUUGGAUUUGUGUCCCUGCUGAACUCUCAUGUCAAAUUGUAAUUCCCAGUACUGGAGGAGGGGCCUGCUGGUGGGAGGUGACAGCGUGCUGGCAGCCCUUGCAGCCCCAAAGCUCACUCUCGGUGCCUCCUCGGCCUCAGUGCCCAUUCUGGCCAUGCUUGAGGAGCCCUUCAGCCCACUGCUGCACCGUGGGAGCCCUUCUCUGGGCUGGCCAAGGCCAGAGCCGGCACCCUCGGCUUGCAGGGAGGUGUGGAGGGAGAGACACGGGCAGGAACUGGGGCUGCGCGCAGCACUUGCGGGCCAGCUGGAGUUCCGGGUGGGCGUGGGCUUGGCGGCCUCACACUCAGAGUGGCUGGCCGGCCCUGCUGGCCCAGGCAGUGAGGGGCUUAGCACCUGGGCAAGCAGCUGCCGAUGGUGCGCCGGCUCCCCCAGCAGUGCUGGCCCACAGCGCUGCGAUGGAUUUCUCACCAGGCCUUAGCUGCCUCCCCACAGGGCAGGGCUCGGGACCUG